This is a long non-coding RNA of Panthera uncia (snow leopard), 576 nucleotides long. RefSeq lists it as uncharacterized. NCBI's taxonomy places the organism in Eukaryota, Metazoa, Chordata, Mammalia, Carnivora, Felidae. The record is from RefSeq and is a predicted model, not a curated record. The transcript is spliced from 3 exons.
GACGCCCCACAAGCACCGCACGGGGGCAGCGGCCGCGGAAGGGGCCCCGCAGAGUGCGGCGCUGCCUUCCUGCCUUCCGGGCACACAGGUGCCCGCCCUUCCCUCGCUCGGUCCAGGCGGCCUCCCCAGAAGGAGGCAACCCUCCACCUGAGAAGUCACAGCCCCGGGACCACCACCCUCCCCGCGGGCUGGAGAGCUCCCGAUGCUUCCUAGAGGCGGCAAAGAAGGGCUCCUUGAGACAGAAACUCCCAAGUCCUCUCAUUAAUAAUUAGCAUAGUACCUGGGAUAUGGUGCUCUGUGAAUGAAGCCUGUCAAAAGAUGAGCCAGAGAACCUCCAAGCACAGUCGUCCGGGAUGCAAACCUCAGCUCCUCCAAAGCACGCGUCCCGCGUUCCAAUCAGACAUUGCAAUGUUGCAAAUGAAACUGGACCAGAUGCAGAACGGACGUAGGAGCCGCCAGCCGAAUGCAGACGAAGCAAGAGAAGACUCCAUGAUGGAAGAAGCCUGAAUCCCCUCCCAGGACAGUUCACAGUCCCAGUGUCUCAGGGAGAAAAUAAACCUGUAUGGUCGUAAGUCA